This 8859-nucleotide long non-coding RNA is filed under the name Sorghum bicolor (sorghum). RNAcentral's name for it is "long non-coding RNA (SBIC_LNC006625)". Lineage: Eukaryota; Viridiplantae; Streptophyta; Magnoliopsida; Poales; Poaceae. The record is from RNAcentral.
CAUCGGCAUGGUAGACUUUCUAGAAGCACUCUACGACUUUGGCUCCAGCGUCAACAUUAUGCCCAGGGUACUCUAUGAAAAAUUCUUUACACAUCCUUUAUCAGAAACAACCAUGUGUUUGCAGCUUGCAGAUCGUACGCUAAGUUUCCCAAAGGGAAUAUUGAAGAACCUCUGCGUCCGAGUUGGUACCUUGUAUGCCUCAGCAGACUUCUUGGUAAUAGAGACUGGUACUGAUGAGAGGGCACCCAUCAUCCUAGGGAGGCCAUUCCUGAACACCUCAGGAGCUGUCAUCUACGCUAGUGCUACCAAGAUCAGUUUCUACAUCAAGGGGAGGAAGGAGACGUUUUCCUUCAAGAACAAGACUGCACAAAUCUCAGAACAAUCCCGACAUGAACCAAGGAAGAGGACCAACAGGAGAAACAUGAACAAGCAAAUGUGGACUGAGUCAGCUAAGAUGGUUACUGCAUCUCAAGGAGGUCAAGAUUGUCAACUCAAGCCGCCUUUCUUGAUCAAGAAGGACAAUCCCGGUGUUCCAAGCAUCGAGUGCACAAUCAACGGAUAUUCUUUUUAGAAGACACUCUAUGACACCGGAUCUGACGUCAACAUAAUGGCCGCAGUCACUUAUCAGCUCCUCCAUGGAACCAUGGCCCUAUAACCAACAUACAUUCAGCUCCAGAUGAUUUGAGGGUUAUUGACAUGGGAGAAGACGAAUACAACCCACCCGCCAUCCUUGGAAGACCGUUCCUCAGCACCGUUAAAGCAAUCAUCUACAUUGGAAUCAGCGGAGUCCACAUGCAUUUCUCCUCUGAGAAGGUACGCUGCUAUUUUACUGACCCUAACCAAAUAGUUGAAGACUCUAAGCAGGUCAGGACAAGAAGGAGAUGACGCAACCGCAACCAGAGGAGGCAAAUCAUCAAGGACGGAUGGGCAGACUAUGAAGGAGAAGUGGAAAGGUCUGAAGACAUACAGCUUGAACAGAACUGUCCUGAGGAGACCAUAGCACCGAGUCAGGUGUGUAGAGAGAAGAUAGUUAUACACGAAGAGAAGGUGCCGCCGGAACCACCGACUACGCCAUCCAGCGAAUCCCAGGACGACUGAGAAAACGGAGAGUCCCGUUCGGAGGACUUAAAAAAACACCGAACACCUUGCCAAGAGGUAAACUUGGUAGUUAUCUUUUUCCUUUUAAUUAUUUUAAAAUAGUUUGCUUAGUUAAUCAUGUUCAUAUCAUCUUAAAAAGAAAAUAAAAAUGUUAAAAAAUAGUAAGCCCCAUGUGAUUAUGCUCAUGGCAUAAAACCCAUAAGUACAUUCACGGUGGUGGCAUAAAAAUGAAAUAAAUAUAUUCCUGUCCUAUAAAAAUAAAAUUGUAAAAAUAAGAUUGUGAUCCUACUAAAGAGUGUAACAUUUAUUAAGGAGGCUCAACAUGAUAAAGGCUAGAUAUUUAUGCUAACACUUAACUAGUUCCACAAAGCUUUGUUGUCUAUUUGAGCUCCACAGAAUUCAAAGAUCAAAGAAGACUAGUAGACGGAGGACAUCCUAAUCACUGUUAGGGUGCUGCCGACAUUCAAAUACACCUCCGCCAUCUGCUAGCUACAUCAGAAGAAAUUGCGUUAAAUCCAGCUUUGGGGAGAGCACCCCCAUUUAUCCAGCUAAGUAUUCUACUCACGUUUAUACUUUACUCUAAUAAUAAAAAGAUGCAUAAUCAUAUAAACCCAAAUAAAGAUUUUGUGCUUAUAUAUAUCUUUGCUUAGUUUGCUAAAUAAAUAAACAAAUAAAAUUUGCUAUGAACCCUCAUGAUAAGCUCUCAAAUGGAAAUGAUGAAUAGUUGCUCUACCAUGACUAGUUCUCAAAAUUGAAAUCUCUCUCAAGUUUAGGCAUGACUGUUAUUAAUUAAGAUUUACUCUAAACCUGAACUUGUGGGAAGAGUACUUGAUCUAAAGUCUAAGUCGUUAACGGAUAUGAUAUGGGAAGGUUGAGCUGCUGUUUAUCUGUUCCUAGAGAUGCUAGAAUUCUGGAGAAUUUUAUCUUUGAAAAUCUUUAAAAUGUUGCAUGAUGAGUUCCUGUACGAUGAGAGUUUAAAUUCCUACCACAGCCAUAUAUACAUGCUUGCUAGACUAAGAGCCACACAUUUACUUUUUACUACUUAUGAGCAUUGAGUGUGGCCAAGCUGUGUAGACCCUUAGGAGCUUGUCAUACGGUUAAAUAAAGAUUCACUUCAUGUUCACUUCUACUUCGGAAGUACGCAUCCACAUAAAAAUAUUCUACUCCUAAUCCGAGAGAGAAUAGCCAAAAAUAUUUCUGUUUUUCGCCUGUGAAAUAAAUGCUCAAGUUAUCUUGUUACUACCACUUGCUAUAUUAUUUCAGGAGAUGAGUGCUCUAAAAAAAGAGAGAAAAAAAGAGAAAGAAUACGAGGAAAUAAAAAGGGGCAAGUGCGCGGAACCUCGAAAGAAAAGAAAAAGUGAGACGAGAGGUAAAAAUAGACAAGUGUUCGACAGUAGAAUUAGGGGUACAAGAUACCCACCUGAGAGACAAGAAAAAUAAAAUAUAGAGCAUCUCAUUCUCCUCAAAAAGUUUCAAAAGAGCAAGAAAGGUAUGUAUCCCCUCAAAAGAGCAUAAGUAGAAUUAGACUUUCACCAUUGUUAUCACCGUCAUUACCAUGCAUCAUUCAUUCGCCACACAUGCACAUCUUGAUUUGACUUAUUGACUUGUUCUUCUGGAUCCAUGGUUUGACUAUGCAAUAAAUGUCUUGUAAGUAUGUAUUAGCUGUCUCCCACCUAUGAGCUCCAGAUAUCAAAACCUUAUUAGAGUAGGGUGAGAGAGAAGGCAAUGCCACUAUGCCUCAUACCAAAAAUACCACAUACUUUGAGAGAAGGCAUACACCAUUACUACCUUGGUAAGGAUCCAGAAAUACCACAAAAGAGAGACUAGAGAGAGUCAUACAAGGAAUCUCUGAGUUUUAUUUGAAAAUCUGCAAAAACUCCAGAGCUAUAGUUAAUCGAAGAACAAGAGACAUGGUGCUUGACUAGACCGUUCUAUCUUUUAACUGCUCAAGACACAAGUGACGGUUACAAGCCCCAUGGUGGAAGGUAAAAUGAGUAAGUUUAAAUCUUAACAGUUUACCCUAACCUAGAGAUGAGAUCUUGUUUGAACGCAUGUGUAUCUUUAAGGCAUGAAACCACUGCAGAAACUCUUGAGUUCAUCUUUGCUCAGGGACGAGCAAAGGUUAAGCUUGGGGGAGCUUGUUGACGGUCCUUAAUGCUCACAUUUAACCGUCAACUAAUCAUGGAAAAGGAUCUAAAUGGAACCAACACCUAGACUUAGGGUUUUAUCUGACAGAAUUCCAUGAGUUUUGGUGUUUGUCUAUUUCUGCAGGGGGUUAUCAGGAAAUACGGAAGAAAGGCCCACACGUUGGGUUUACAUAGAGAUAUUAACGUGCCGCACAAUUUUCUAUCAUCUAGAAGACUCUAGAAGCCACGGGACCGAAGCGGAGGCCGAGAGGACUCAGGGACAGGGCGCCCGCCCUCCUCUUCUGGGCGCCCGCCCUCACAUAGAGUCCAAUCAGCACUCUCUUUCGGGAUAUUGCUCCACCGACCUAAAGGAUCAAGGAUAACCGUUCAAUCAAUGUCGGUUUGAUCCAAUGGCCCAGAUUCACUUAUAGGGACUAUAAAACCAGACCCCUUGGCCCCUGGAGAUCACACCUCUUCUACAGAAGCAAAGCUAGGGUUUCAAUUCUUCAUCCAAGUAGAGAGGAUCCCUCUAGUUCUUCUAGUUCUACCUCUAAUUCAUCUAGAUCUAGUUCUAGUUCAUCUAGUUCUAGUUCUAGUUCUUCUAGUUCUAGUUCUAGUUAGUUCUAUUUGUAAUCUAGAAAAUAGGGAGAGAGAAGAGGAGAGCGGAGGAGGAGCCGGAUCUGUCAGAUCUUCCUCAACAUUGUACUUUUGCAGCAACUGGUUCUUUCUUCAUCGUUCUCUAGGUUCUUCAAUUCAUAAUUCCUGAGUUCUCUAAUUACUUUUAUUUACAUUCAAGUUAUUUAUUGGAUUCCCGCUUGCAUCAAGUGCUCUAGUCUUUAUAACGCUAGAGUAGUAAUUAAUAGAUUAGACGUGGUGUUUAGUCUUGCAAUUACCUGGAAUUGCACCCAAUCCUGCGGAUUGUUGUGGUAGCCUUAGGGUAGUGACAGCCCUAACGCUCGACGUAUUCCACCUCGUUCAGAUCGGUGUUUGUAGGGCCGUAGUCAGACCUUCCUAGCCCCCUUCUCAUCUCUUUCUGUGGUUAGUGCUCUGUUUUCCCGAUAUAAAUAAUCUUGAAGUAAUUCUUGAUUCUUAGAUCAACUAUUCCCACCAAAAAUAAUUAUAUUGUUAUCCUUGGGUGAUCUUGGAUCUUAAUUAGUACACUCACGUUCUCUGUGGAAAAUCGAUACUCUGGAAUACUCCCGGGUGAAAGCUACAUCGGUAUCCGUGUGCUUGUGGAUUUUUUCUGUUUGUAUUUAAAAUACCCAACAAACUUUCUGAUGCCGUUGCCGGGGAACGGUAGCUGUACUAGUUUCGAACCAAGUCAUCCGUGUAUCCUUUUUCUUUUUCCUUUUAUACCAGACUCACCUUACCAUUUUCACCACACCACAUGGAUUUCACUCCAAGCAUUAAUGAGCAUGGAAUUUAUUUCAUAGCCACUUCGUUUACUCCAUGCUCAUAUGCAACAUCUUCACAAUCUAUUGGAUUUUCCAACAUCACCACAUUCAAGAUCUCCAACCCCACUUCCUUUCUAUUUAUAAAAACUUUAAAAGGGCGAUUGUGGAUGCAUAUGUCUAUAAUAAAUUUUGCAGAUCUCGUUGAGUUGAUCUUGAUAUAGGUCAGUGUUGGAGGGGAAACCACUUCGCCGACAUAAAUUUAUGGUUUCCCAAGGACAAGCUUAGUGUCCUAAAACAAGCACUGAUCAGAUUGUAACAUGAGCUUUUAAUUAUUUGCAACAUUAUCUUGUGUAUUGAGCAUAUAAGGAUAAUUGCAAAAAAUUCCUUCGGGUAUUCUUGUCACUAACCUUUUCAGGAUUAGAGCAAGAAGAUCGGAUGAAUGACAAGCACAAGGUAUGUCCAACCAACCAUCAUACAACAUUGAAUUAAAUUCAUCCAAACUUGAAUUUUGCAAAAUUCAAGCUUGGGGGAGUACUUUACAUAAAAACAUUCUUUGCCAUGUUGCUAUGUUGGUUGUCCCUACCUUUGAGACAUGCUCAAUUUGUUAAAUACUAAUCACACUACUUCAUCUCCACUUGAGUAAAUCUCUAUAAAUGCUUUCAUGCUACCUUUAUUUUAGUAUAUGUCUAGGUUUGGAGCAGUUAUAUUUAUCUCUUAAUUAAGCAUGGUGCUUAGUUUAGGAAUGAUGAUCUUACUUCCAAAGGAUUUUAAAUUAAGCAUGAUGCUUAUGUUAAAAUUUCCUCCUAAAUCAAAUUAGACAUGGUGUCUAGGUUGAUAUUUGAGCCGAUAGUAUGCUAUAGUAGAUAUUGGAUAUUUUGUUGGACUAACCCCUGCAGGAAAACUUUCUAUAUCGCCCUGGGAAGUCCCGAGACAAACUCACAUUGGAGACAAAGAGAGAGACACAUGAAGUUUAACAAUUUACACAAGGAAGGCAUAGCUCAUAAGAGAUGAUCCAUGGAGGGUGCUACAAACACGAUGCACAUCCGUAAAGAAAGGAAAGCUUCCAUAAGGUAAUACUGUACCGUCACUCUUCAAGAAAGGUAACAUCUUAAGGUACUUGACUAUCACUUCUAUAAGCUUCUCCUUAUUUCUUGUAUUCACAUGAGUAAAAGAGACAAACAUGUAAAAUUUACAACUCUAGAUUAACCAAUCCAAUUAAUUCAGCAUGUUUAGUCCUUUAAUCUUUGUUUAUAGUACUACCUUCAUGAUCCCACACUCCCAAUCAUAUGAACUAAAAUGUUGCACACUCAAUCUUUGGAAGAUAUAUAAAAAAACAACAUAAAUAUAGAUAGAUUAUCUUUCUAUUAGGUUGAGCGAUCUAUCUAACAAAUGUUUUAAAUGCUACACUCAUGAUCUUAUUAUCCAUCAACUUUGUCUUGCUCACUAUGCUUAAGGUUAGAGAAGAACAAAUACACUUUUGGUUCUGUUGGUGUUUUCCACCAACAGGGCCCAUGCACUUGAUCUCUGCCUUGUCUCUAUGAGCAGGUACACUUCGAGCAAAAUAUGAAGGACUUUUACAACUCCCAGAGUCCACCAAGUGAAGAACCUAGAUCUACGAGCACAAACACACUGGAGAUACUGGACACUCAGGCAAUCACUGCCCUGAGAUGCUUAAGGACGUAACUUCUCGAGUAACCCUGUUGUGGAAGUAAUUACUGACCUUCUGCCGGUCAAGAGAGGCGAUCCAGGACGCCCCGUCAUCUCAAUCUCCAUCGGCAUGGUGGACUUUCUAGAAGCACUCUACGACUUUGGCUCCAGCGUCAACAUUAUGCCCAGGGUACUCUAUGAAAAAUUCUUUACACAUCCUUUUUCAGAAACAGCCAUGUGUUUGCAGCUUGCAGAUCGUACGCUAAGUUUCCCAAAGGGAAUAUUGAAGAACCUCUGCGUCCGAGUUGGUACCUUAUAUGCCUCAGCAGACUUCUUGGUAAUAGAGACUGGUACUGAUGAGAGGGCACCGAUCAUCCUAGGGAGGCCAUUCCUGAACACCUCAGGAGCUGUCAUCUACGCUAGUGCUACCAAGAUCAGUUUCUACAUCAAGGGGAGGAAGGAGACGUUUUCCUUCAAGAACAAGACUACACAAAUCUCAGAACAAUCCCGGGAUGAACCAAGGAAGAGGACCAACAGGAGGAACAUUAACAAGCAAAUGUGGACUUAGUCAGCUAAGAUGGUCACUGCAUCUCAAGGAGGUCAAGAUUGUCAACUCAAGUCGCCUUUCUUGAUCAAGAAGGACGACCCCGGUGUUCCAAGCAUCGAGUGCACAAUCAACGGAUAUUCUUUUUAGAAGACACUCUAUGACACUGGAUCUGACGUCAACAUAAUGGCCGCAGUCACUUAUCAGCUACUCCAUGGAACCAUGCCCCUAUGACCAACAUACAUUCAGCUCCAGAUGAUUUGAAGGUUAUUGACAUGGGAGAAGACGAAUACAACCCACCCGCCAUCCUUGGAAGACCGUUCCUCAGCACCGUUAAAGCAAUCAUCUAAAUUGGAAUCGGCGGAGUCCACAUGCAUUUCCCCUCUGAGAAGGUACGCUGCUAUUUUACUGACCCUAACCAUAUAGUUGAAGACUCUAAGCAGGCCAGGACAAGAAGGAGACGAUGCAACCGCAACCAGAGGAGGCAAAUCAUCAAGGACGGAUGGGCAGACUAUGAAGGAGAAGUGGAAAGGUCUGAAGACAUACAGCUUGAACAGAACUGUCCUGAGGAGACCGUAGCACCGAGUCAGGUGUGUAGAGAGAAGAUAGUUAUACACGAAGAGCAGGCGCCGCCGGAACCACCGACUACGCCAUCCAGCGAAUCCCAGGACGACUGAGAAAACGGAGAGUCCCGUUCGGAGGAGUUAAAAAAACACCGAACACCUUGCCAAGAGGUAAACUUGGUAGUUAUCUUUUUCCUUUUAAUUAUUUUAAAAUAGUUUGCUUAGUUAAUCAUGUUCAUAUCAUCUUAAAAAGAAAAUAAAAAUGUUAAAAAAUAGUAAGCCCCAUGUGAUUAUGCUCAUGGCAUAAAACCCAUAAGUGCAUUCACUGUGGUGGCAUAAAAAUGAAAUAAAUAUAUUCCUAUCCUAUAAAAAUAAAAUUGUAAAAAUAAGAUUGUGAUCCUACUAAAGAGUGUAACAUUUAUUAAGGAGGCUCAACAUGAUAAAGGCUAGAUAUUUAUGCUAACACUUAACUAGUUCCACAAAGCUUUGUUGUCUAUUUGAGCUCCACAGAAUUCAAGGAUCAAAGAAGACUAGUAGACGGAGGACAUCCUAAUCACUGUCAGGUUGCUGCCGACAUUCAAAUACACCUCCGCCAUCUGCUAGCUACAUCAGAAGAAAUUGCGUCAAAUCCAGCUUGGGGGAGAGCACCCCCAUUUAUCCAGCUAAGUAUUCUACUCACGUUUAUACUUUACUCUAAUAAUAAAAAGAUGCAUAAUCAUAUAACCCCAAAUAAAGAUUUUGUGCUUAUAUAUAUCUUUGUUUAGUUUGCUAAAUAAAUAAAUAAAUAAAAUUUGCUAUGAACCCUCAUGAUAAGCUCUCAAAUGGAAAUGAUAAGCUCUCAUAUGGGAAGGUUGAGCUGCUGUUUAUCUGUUCCUAGAGAUGCUAGAAUUCUGGAGAAUUUGAUCUUUGAAAAUCUUUAAAAUGUUGCAUGAUGAGUUCCUGUAUGAUGAGAGUUUAAAUUCCUACCACAGCCAUAUAUACAUGCUUGCUAGACUAUGAGCCACACAUUUACUUUUUACUACUUAUGAGCAUUGAGUGUGGUCAAGCUAUGUAGACCCUUAGGAGCUUGUCAUGCGGUUAAAUCAAGAUUCACUUGCACGUUCACUUCUACUUCGGAAGUACGCAUCCACAUAUAUCCAUCCAUUUCCAUCUCCAGAACCACCCAAAAAUAUUCUACUCCUAAUCCGGGAGAGAAUAGCCAAAAAUAUUUCUGUUUUUCACUUGUGAAAUAAAUGCUCAAGUGCGCGGAACCUCGAAAGAAAAGAAAAAGUGAGACGAGAGGUAAAAAUAGACAAGUGUUCGACAGUAGAAUUAGGGGUACAAGAUACCCACCUGAGAGAAAAGAAAAAGAAAAUAUAGAGCAUCUCAUUCUCCUCAAAAAGUUUCAAAAGAGCAAGAAAGGUAUGUAUCCCCUCAAAAUAGCAUAAGUAGAAUUAGACUUUCACCAUUGUUAUCACCAUCAUUACCAUGCAUCAUUCAUUCGCCAC